UGGCGGACGGGUGAGUAAUGUCUGGGAAACUGCCCGAUGGGGGGGGAUAACUACUGGAAACGGUAGCUAAUACCGCAUAACGUCGCAAGACCAAGAGGGGGACCUUCGGGCCUCUUGCCAUCGGAUGUGCCCAGAUGGGAUUAGCUAGUAGGUGGGGUAACGGCUCACCUAGGCGACGAUCCCUAGCUGGUCUGAGAGGAUGACCAGCCACACUGGAACUGAGACACGGUCCAG
This 234-nucleotide ribosomal RNA is filed under the name uncultured bacterium. RNAcentral's name for it is "partial 16S ribosomal RNA". It matches the Rfam family "Bacterial small subunit ribosomal RNA", at positions 96 to 334 of the family's 1533-position model. The record is from RNAcentral.